This 70-nucleotide transfer RNA is filed under the name Chitinophaga sp. CF118. RNAcentral's name for it is "tRNA_His_GTG". It matches the Rfam family "tRNA". Rfam says of the family: Transfer RNA (tRNA) molecules are approximately 80 nucleotides in length. Their secondary structure includes four short double-helical elements and three loops (D, anti-codon, and T loops). Lineage: Bacteria; Pseudomonadati; Bacteroidota; Chitinophagia; Chitinophagales; Chitinophagaceae. The record is from RNAcentral.
GUGUUUGUAGUUUAAGGGUAAAACAACCGAAUGUGAAUCGGUAGUUGAGGGUUCGAAUCCCCCAAACACC